CCCAAAAACUUAAAAGAAAAACAGUGCCUCUGCAAUUCUUCUUCUCCAUCCGCCUUCUUCUUCGCCCCCGCCCCCCCCCUCAUCCGCCUUCUUCUUCCCCAAAUCGACCCCUCUUCCAUAUACCAACUCUCUUCGCCCCGAUUCUUCACCAAGUCCCGACUUCGAACCAUGCCGAUGCUCCAGCGCAGCGCACACUUCGGCGACCGGGAUCGACGCCUCCUUCACCAACUCCAGCGCGGCGCACGCUUCGGCGACCUGGAUUGAACCAAGUCCCAGCUUCGAACCCUAGGUUGUCGCAGGUGGCCUGUCAUCGAAGCCUCUCAGGAAAGCCAACUUUCCCCUCACGACCUAUCUCGCGCUCCUCUCUUUUUUCCCCAAAUCCAGAACCCUAGGUCGUUUGUCGCCACCGCCACCGCUUCCACCGGUAGUCACCUCCGUCGCAGUGAAAUACUCCGAUUUUAAUGGCGGCGACCCUCUCUCUCUCAGAUAAUAUGCACAAAUUGGGCACAACUUUAUCUUUCUAGGGUUCUAAAUUGCACCGGUAACGACAGUUCUCUCCCUAUCUCUCUCUACUCUCCAACUCCAGUAAGUCCUGAACUCUGCACUUCUCUACUCUGGGUUCGAAUUUUGAAAUUCUCGAGCAAUUUUGUAAGUUAUGCAUACUUAGUAAGUUCUAGUUCGUUUCUUCGAAGAACGGGGUGUUGCAGUUGAUUGAUUCUUGUAGUCCGAUUUAAUUCAAUUGCUUCUUGCACUGUAGUUAUUGAAUUCGCGGGGGGAUUCUGAAUUCUUAAUUGCUCCGGGUCCAAAUUGUUAUGACAGUUUUCUUAGGUGGUAAGCUUUACUUAAUUGAAUAUUAGGCAUGGUGGAUGCUCACAAUGAAAUCAUGUCUUGUAUUCCUGUGCUCUAAGACCUAAAUUUGAAACUGAUCGUGUAUUGUUAGGCUGAUGCUGGAGGUUCACCCUCACUUGUUGCUCGAGGAUUCAGCACUGUUCAGGCUGCUAGUGGUGGUGAGCAACUUGAAAUUCAAGUUCCAGUUGAAAGAUUUGAACUUGUAAAUUCUGUGAGGAUGAGGUAGUGCAGUCCCUUUGAGUAAUCAGCUUGGUGACAGCUUCUUACUUCUAUAUAAAUCAAGAAAGAAAUUAAAUUAGUGAAGCUAGUUUAAACACAAAAGUGAGAAAAGGGAAAAGUUUAGCUGUUGGAAUUCAUUUAAUUUGUGAAGCUACUUCGAUGCAUGACGCUCUCUCCUUACUGAUGAUGGGAAAUUGCAAGCUGAGACAGCUUCUGGUGAAUUCUGGGUACUCUUUGGUGGGUUUGCUCCAAUUGGUAAGAAGGUUGCUACUGAAGAUGAUAUCAUACCAGAGAAGACCCCUGCUAAGCUUUUUAGCAAGUAGAAAAGGAUAUAUUCAUCCAAGCAAUAGAGAAGGGGCAGGGAGCUACCUAUGGGAGCAUCUUGAAUGCGAUGAGGUCUACCAUCCGGCAGACUAGCGAGGAUCUAGUUGCCGGAGGGGGUGCUGUCACUACACUACUCACAAUGCUCUUGACAGGGGGGAGCGGUGUUGGACUGAGACAGGUACGUACGAAUGCACCAAUGCCAAUGCCUUAUUGAAAAUUACUACAAGAGCCUAAAUCACCAUAUGAUCAUGUUGGAUGCAGGAACCACAUCUUAGUUGUAAUGAGCGAUUUGAUGUCUUCAACCUUUCUUAAUUUCCUUUAUUUAUUGGACACUGGCUCUCUUCAAUCAACUCGAGCCUUUAUUCUAAGAAAUUGGUAUCUAUUAUUAUUAUUAUUAUUUUGAAACCAAGAAAUUGGUAUCUAUUAUACCAAUUUUAGUAAUAUUUCUUAAAAAAUGUGAAAUGGAGAAGUUUUUAGUGCUUAGUAACUUGAUAGGUUUUGUCCAUUUUACCAAUCACUUUGAUAUGCUUUUUAAGUGUUUAUCAUGAUGCUCUACAUUGUGAUUCUUGGUUGGCUCUUUGUAUGAUUUUG
RNA transcript from Salvia miltiorrhiza (redroot sage), 1983 nucleotides. It is a transcript of the gene named villin-3-like, with no coding region annotated. The transcript is spliced from 4 exons. Lineage: Eukaryota; Viridiplantae; Streptophyta; Magnoliopsida; Lamiales; Lamiaceae. The record is from RefSeq and is a predicted model, not a curated record.